This 702-nucleotide ribosomal RNA is filed under the name Triticum aestivum (bread wheat). RNAcentral describes it as "partial small subunit ribosomal RNA". The record is from RNAcentral. Lineage: Eukaryota; Viridiplantae; Streptophyta; Magnoliopsida; Poales; Poaceae.
AUGAGGGGCAGCACGUUGCGUCCAGACGUCUCCGCCGCCGGCCUCUCUACACUCCGCUCCCCAGUCCCCACCUCCUCCGGUCCUCCCGCACGGCCGCUCCUCCGCGACGACACCAACCGUCCAGAAGCGGAGUCGCCGCCUCGACCCGGGGUCCCCCCGUCCCCAUCGUGGUCAGCACCACGCACAUCCCGAGGCACCACCCGCUCGUUGUCGGCACGCCCGAGCCUGCCAAGAAGGAGGCCGUGCCGCGGAGGGGCUCCUGGGGCCGAGAAGCAUAGUGGCGCCGGCGAUGCCGGGGUGCUCGCAUCACCCAAGGUUGUCAGGCCCAUCGCGCUCAACUUCGAGGAGAAGACGCCCGUCAAGGAGCGGCCCUCGCCAGCGCGGAGCUCGGCGUUGGUCAAGAAGAGCACCACCAUCAUGCACAGGCUGGUGACACACGGCUGGAGCUUCGUCGCCGACAGGGCAACCCACCUCCUCCUCCACAGAACAAGAUCCCAAAGGGCCGGUUCCACCUGAGAAGAGCUCGAUGAGCUACACGGCUCACGCACCAUGAGCAGGAGGCCCAGGGAGAAGGAGCCCUCCUUGCUGGUCUCCGACGACCGGCGUCGGCAGCACAACUGCCUCCCCCAAGAGGAGGCCCUCCUUGUCGGCCUCUCCCGUGCUGGUGCUAGGGAAGCUCAAUGCUCUCGACAAGGCAAGUGA